GAGGAAAAGCUGUAGGUUAAUACCCUAUAGCCGUGACGUUAACUAUAGAAGAAGCACCGGCUAACUCCGUGCCAGCAGCCGCGGUAAUACGGAGGGUGCAAGCGUUAAUCGGAAUUACUGGGCGUAAAGCGCGCGUAGGCGGAUAUAUAAGUCAGAUGUGAAAUCCCUGGGCUCAACCUAGGAACUGCAUUUGAAACUGUAUAUCUAGAGUGUGGUAGAGGUGAGUGGAAUUUCAGGUGUAGCGGUGAAAUGCGUAGAGAUCUGAAGGAACAUCAGUGGCGAAGGCGACUCACUGGGCCAUUACUGACGCUGAGGUGCGAAAGCGUGGGUAGCAAACAGGAUUAGAUUCGCUGGUAGUCCACGCCCUAAACGAUGUCAACUAGGUGUG
RNAcentral lists this ribosomal RNA (388 nucleotides) under uncultured Methylophaga sp. Its description in RNAcentral is "bacterial SSU rRNA". It matches the Rfam family "Bacterial small subunit ribosomal RNA", at positions 444 to 824 of the family's 1533-position model. Lineage: Bacteria; Pseudomonadati; Pseudomonadota; Gammaproteobacteria; Thiotrichales; Piscirickettsiaceae. The record is from RNAcentral.